CAACUACUUAAUCGCAAGGCUAAUACUU
This 28-nucleotide small RNA is filed under the name Bombyx mori (domestic silkworm). RNAcentral's name for it is "ovarian small RNA-4639". Lineage: Eukaryota; Metazoa; Arthropoda; Insecta; Lepidoptera; Bombycidae. The record is from RNAcentral.